Molecule: ribosomal RNA, 115 nt
Filed under: Danio rerio (zebrafish)
Lineage: Eukaryota; Metazoa; Chordata; Actinopteri; Cypriniformes; Danionidae
Source: RNAcentral
AUUAGCAGCUAGCUCUCUACAAAUCCUCCGUGGUCACCCACUGAAGCUAAGAAUGGUUGAGCCUUGUCAGUAACUAGAUGGGAGCCCAAAUGGGAAAGCUAGGUUGUUGCCGGAA